This 27-nucleotide non-coding RNA is filed under the name Mus musculus (house mouse). The record is from RNAcentral. Lineage: Eukaryota; Metazoa; Chordata; Mammalia; Rodentia; Muridae.
UUCCUUCCUUGACCAAGAUAUCAUUGA